This 1470-nucleotide ribosomal RNA is filed under the name uncultured Bordetella sp. RNAcentral describes it as "partial 16S-23S ribosomal RNA intergenic spacer". It matches the Rfam family "Bacterial small subunit ribosomal RNA". The record is from RNAcentral. Lineage: Bacteria; Pseudomonadati; Pseudomonadota; Betaproteobacteria; Burkholderiales; Alcaligenaceae.
GGGAGUUCUGAUCCCUGGCUCAGAUUGAAACGCUGGCGGAUGCUUUACACAUGCAAGUCGAGAACGGCAGCACGGACUUCGGUCUGCGCGUCGAGUGGCGAACGGGUGAGUAAUGUAUCGGAACGUGCCUAGUGAAGGGGAUAACUACGCGAAAGCGUAGCUACUACUGCAUACGCCUUCUUUGUGUUGGGACCUUCGGGCCUCGCACUAUUAGAGCGGCCGAUAUCGGAUUAGCUAUUGGUGGGGUAACGGCUCACCAAGGCGACGAUCCGUAGCUGGUUUGAGAGGACGACCAGCCACACUGGGACUGGAGACACGGCCCGUGAGCUCCUACGGGAGGCAGCAGUGGGGAAUUUUGGACAAUGGGGAAACCUGAUCCAGCCAUCCCGCGUGUGCGAUGAAGGCUUCGGGUUGUAAAGCACUUUUGGCAGGAAAAGAAACGGCACGGGAUAAUACCCCGUGCAACUGACGGCCUGUGAGAAUGGGCGACCACCUACACCAUGUGCCAGCAGCCGCGGUACAGCGGUGGUGCAAGCGUUAAUCGGAAUUAUCAUGCAAGCGUGCGCAGGCGGUUCGAAAAGAAAGAUGUGAAAUCCCAGAGCUUAACUUUGAACUGCAUUUUUAACUACCGAGCUAGAGUGUGUCAGAGGGAGGUGGAAUUCCCGCGUAGCAGUGAAAUGCGUAGAGUAUGCGGAGGAACACCGAUGGCGAAGGCAGCCCAGACAACACUGACGCUCAUGCACGAAAGCGUGGGGAGCGUCAGGAUUAGAUAAUUCGGUAGUCCACGCCCAAACGAUGUCAACUAGCCUGUUGGGGCCUUCGCCCCGGUAGCGCAGCUAACGCGUGAAGCUUGACCGCCUGGGAGUACGGUCGCAAGAUUAAAACUCAAAGGAAUUGACGGGACCCGCACAAGCGGUGGAUGAUGUGGAUUAAUUGAUGCAACGCGAAAAACCUUACCUACCCUUGACAUGUCUGGAACUCGAAGAGAUUUGGGAGUGCUCGCAAGAGAACCGAACACAGGUGCUGCAUGGCUGUCGUCAGCUCGUGUCGAGAUGUUGGGUUAAGUCCCGCAACGAGCGCAACCCUUGUCAUUAGUUGCUACGAUAGCACCUGAACGAGACUGCCGGUGACAAACCGGGAGGAAGGUGGGGAUGACGCUGGUCCUCAUGGCCCUAUGGGUAGCUUCACACGUCAUACAAUGGUCGGGACAGAGGGUCACAACCACGAGGGGGAGCCAACCCCAGAAACCCGAUCGUGUCCGGAUCGCAGUCUGCAACUCGACUGCGUGAAGUCGGAAUCGCUAGUAAUCGCGGAUCAGCAUGUCGCGGUGAAUACGUUCCCGGGCCUUGUACACACCCUCGCCCGUCACACCAUGGGAGUGGGUUUUACCAGAAGUAGUUAGCCUAACCGUAAGGAGGGCGAUUACCACGGUAGGAUUCAUGACUGGGCGAAGUCGUAACAAGGCAGCUC